Rhinichthys klamathensis goyatoka is the source of this 308-nucleotide long non-coding RNA. RefSeq lists it as uncharacterized. The transcript is spliced from 3 exons. Lineage: Eukaryota; Metazoa; Chordata; Actinopteri; Cypriniformes; Leuciscidae. The record is from RefSeq and is a predicted model, not a curated record.
UUUACAUCCAAUGGGUUGGAUCCCAACAGGAUGGUUCAUGUCAACAGUAGACGACCAGUUUUCAACUAAGGAUUUUAAGCCAACGUAGACGUUAACGUCUUGAGUCCAUGAUUCUAUAAAGGUUGGUGGUGUUAUCCUAACAGAGCUGAUCUUUUAUUAGUGAUGUGCAAUGAUGAUUCAAUAGACUAGAGUCUCUGAUGACAACAUGAAGCUCUUUACAUUUCUCUGAGCACAGCUUUUGAUUAUAAACAUGUAUUUGUAAUGAAGAACUCCUGAUUUACUUUGGCUUUUUCUCUUAGGUUGAUGUG